UACCAGCACCCCGAGUGGUCGGGACGAUUAUUGGGCCUAAAGCAUCCGUAGCCGGUUCUGCAAGUCCCCCGUUAAAUCCAGCUGCUCAACAGAUGGGCCGCGGAGGAUACUACAGAGCUAGGAGGCAGGAGAGGCAAGCGGUACUCAGUGGGUAGGGGUAAAAUCCGUUGAUCCAUUGAAGACCACCAGUGGCGAAGGCGGCUUGCCAGAAUGCGCUUGACGGUGAGGGAUGAAAGCUGGGGGAGCAAACCGG
Molecule: ribosomal RNA, 253 nt
Filed under: uncultured bacterium
Lineage: Bacteria
Description: partial 16S ribosomal RNA
Rfam family: Archaeal small subunit ribosomal RNA
Source: RNAcentral